UGGUUCCUCAGAGGGUAUGAUGCACGAGUUCCAUUCUAAGAUUUCACCCCAACAAAAGCAACUCGAAAUAUAGUAGAGCUUCAAUAUGUGAUGAAGCCAACUAGGCAGCUGCGCUACCAACUUUCACCUGACCUCUUGAUAUGACCAUCCAAAAAAACUUAACCGUGCUUGUAUUAUAACAUAGAAAUUCUCAUCGCUUACGUUCUUGCCUCCACUUGAAGACAGGUUUGGUUGUUGGGUUGACAAGCUCUUCUUCACGAAGUUUGCGUUUCCUUCCUGAUUUCUGUAAUUCUUUCUGCAUUGCCAUAUCCAUGUAUACUUUCUCUAAAUCUCUGACUCUGCUCUUUCUUGCUUCCAACUCUCUGUAAGAUGUAGCUGUCUUUCUUCUAAUACUGCUAGGCAAGUUCUCAGAAGCAGCCAGAUUACCACGUUCUGAAGCCUUAGACGCUAACUCUUCUGCUUCCUCCCUGUCCUCAGCAUAGUAGACACGUUUAUUUGAUGGCUUAUUAUCAAGGGAGUGCAGCAUGGCAGUUAACUUCUCAAUUUUCUUUUUCUCACUCUGAACUUUCUGUAAAAUAUAGCCUAUAUCCUGAGUCUUCAUUAACAUGAGUUCCUCUGGAGUGUAUUUAUUUGCUUGGCUCUCCAAUUUAUGCACUCCAUCAACAGUUUUUGUUUUAACCAUCUUGAAGUAGAACUCAUCUGGAUUUCGAAAUGCUGCUUUUUCCUUGAGUUUCUGCAAAGUCUGCUCCUUUUUGUGGAAUGAUGUCGCCCGUACCACAUAAUCUUUGUGUUUCUCAAGCAACCCGAAUUUUUUCCUUGCUUGUGGCUGAGCUCGCUCCUUAUGAGCUCGUCUAGGAAUUGCAUUCUUGAACGACGACAUUUUAGAAUUGAUUAAUUCACUGAAGCAACAACAACGAAAAUACAGCAAAAAGCAAAUCUACAGGACGAGGAGGAGGAAGAAGAAGGGUUUGGCUGCACAAUUGCUGGGGUUUUAGGAUUUGGGCUUUUUAUUUGACCCGCUAUUAAGAUGGAG
RNAcentral lists this unclassified non-coding RNA (1033 nucleotides) under Hevea brasiliensis (rubber tree). The record is from RNAcentral. Lineage: Eukaryota; Viridiplantae; Streptophyta; Magnoliopsida; Malpighiales; Euphorbiaceae.